RNAcentral lists this unclassified non-coding RNA (329 nucleotides) under uncultured fungus. Its description in RNAcentral is "partial contains small subunit ribosomal RNA, internal transcribed spacer 1, and 5.8S ribosomal RNA". The stretch from base 1 to 73 matches the Rfam family "Eukaryotic small subunit ribosomal RNA", at positions 1759 to 1831 of the family's 1831-position model. The record is from RNAcentral. Lineage: Eukaryota; Fungi.
UCAAACUUGGUCAUUUAGAGGAAGUAAAAGUCGUAACAAGGUCUCCGUUGGUGAACCAGCGGAGGGAUCAUUACCGAGUUUACAAACUCCCAAACCCCAUGUGAACAUACCGUUUAUCCGUUGCUUCGGCGGUGCCGCCCCGGGCGCGGGCCUCUCUCGCGAGGCCGCCAGCCCCGGACCCAGGCGCCCGCCGGGGGACCCCAAAACUCCAUGUUGUCUAGCGGCAUCCUCUGAGCUUCGCGCUCCUGGCGAGCGUCGAAACAAACACAAAAUGAAUCAAAACUUUCAACAACGGAUCUCUUGGCUCUGGCAUCGAUGAAGAACGCAGC